GGAAGGCAUUCGUAUCCGGUGGUACGGCCAGGCUUCAAACCUGGUUGGGGGCGUCAGCCGCUCCCGGGUCAGUUCGACUCUGGCUGCCUUCCG
This 93-nucleotide transfer RNA is filed under the name Paraburkholderia silvatlantica. Its description in RNAcentral is "tRNA-Sec". It matches the Rfam family "Selenocysteine transfer RNA". The record is from RNAcentral. Lineage: Bacteria; Pseudomonadati; Pseudomonadota; Betaproteobacteria; Burkholderiales; Burkholderiaceae.